Molecule: long non-coding RNA, 995 nt
Organism: Cicer arietinum (chickpea)
Lineage: Eukaryota; Viridiplantae; Streptophyta; Magnoliopsida; Fabales; Fabaceae
Source: RefSeq, a predicted model, not a curated record
UAAUAUUGUUAUUGUGUGGGACCCACAUUAACUUGAAUUACUAAUUUGCCAUUACCCUUUUCUGAUAUCAGGUUUUUUCUUCGUCAUUUCCUCAAAGAUUCACUCUUUUAAUGCCUUAGAUUCGAUUCCAUUCAAAACAUGUGGGCUUAAGCAUCUUAACACUUAUUGUAAAAUUUAAUUUUAGAGUUAAAUAUUGAACUUGGCUUGUAAAUGGGUGCUUGAUGAUAAUGAACUGAGAAUGUUUUCUUGUUGAUGAAGAUUGCAGGGAUAUGGUAUCAACUGGUUUCAUUAUGAGUAUUGAGUAAUACAAUUCAAUUUGUAAGAGCCCUAUAAUUUUCAAUGAUAGUGGCCCUUCACUUCACUAAUAACCAAUCAUUCACAGUUCACCAAAAACUGAUAGGGAUACUUUUUCUGUUACUGCUAUUCAGUUAGGGUCACUUACCUUAUUUUCAAAGUUACAAAAAAAAGUUCCCUAUUUUAUGUGGUAGUUAGUUAACCACCUUUUUCAUUAUUUAUUUUUGGCAUGUGUUAGUGUUGAAGAUUGUAAAUUGAGUAAAUAGAUAUUUUGGUCUUUGAAUGUAUGAGUAACUAUUAUUAUAGUCUUUGAAUGUAUAUUAAAACUACAAAAAUAUACCUGAGUGUGUCUUUUGUUAGUCUAUUUGGUCCUCGUAAGUUUUUUUCGUUGAUUAGUUUAGUCAUCGGAGGUGUCUUCCAUUGAUCAAUUUAGUAUGUGGAAUUACUAAUAGAAGAAUAAAUUAUUGAGGACAUUUUGGGGUUGGUUUUGUUACAACAUUACAAGAAUAUCUUAUUCUUAGGGCAGCUGGUAACACUUCAUAUCAACAUCUGUCUUAUUUAAUCUGGAGUGAUUUCAUGUUAAUCAGUUCCUCUUUGUUGAUUAUGUGUCUCAUUCUUUUUUGUGGAGAAAAAACUUAAUGUAAACCAAAAGGAUAUUAUUGUCCAUGCGUUCUGCAUUAAUUGUUAAGGUAAUUUUUUUC